UGAAAGCAAGGAUGAGGAUUCAAUUAGAUGUGUUAAAGGAGAGACGGAAAUCUUCACUUCUUUAUGAACUCAAAAAUUUUAUUUGGCAAUAAUUUGUCUGACUUGCUAUUG
This is a small nucleolar RNA of Papaver somniferum (opium poppy), 111 nucleotides long. RefSeq annotates it as small nucleolar RNA Z266. The transcript has a single exon. The record is from RefSeq and is a predicted model, not a curated record. Lineage: Eukaryota; Viridiplantae; Streptophyta; Magnoliopsida; Ranunculales; Papaveraceae.